AAUUCCAGACAGCUGUGAUUAUUUUUUACUUUUUGUCAUUUUUCAUCAACAACAGAGGACCAAUGAAAUGAGAACAUAAAUGUGAAAUCAUGGGCUCACUGAAAUGAAAAUGUCCAUGUACAGAUCCUCUGGAAAAAAAAAAGACUCCAAGAGUUAUAACUACUGUAGUAUAAACAUAGGAACUAAGUUAACUUGUACAUUUCUGUUGAUCACUCCGUUACGUUGCCUCAAAUAGUUUUAGAAGAAAAAAAUCCUUGUUUUCCACACUAUGUGUGUUGUUCCCAAAAGAAUGACUGUUUUGGUUCAGCAGUGAAGUCACUAUCCAUGAAAGACCUGUUUUGGCCAGUGAGAAAAGAACUACCCUGGAGAUGAAGAUGAUAAGUCUUGCUGGGUCUCUCAUCACUCAGAAGACUGUUCCAAGAAGGCCUUGCCAUUCCCUCAUUUUGUUCCUUCAUAAAAUGUGUCCUUUAGUUUCAAACAGAUCUUUAUAGUUCGUGCUUCAUCAAGUCUCUCCCCAUUCCUCCCAAUCUAUUUUUUUUUUUUUUUGGACUCUUCUUCAAAGAGCUUGCAGGUGAAGAUUUAAAAGACAGAACAGACAGAGCAGAAGCUUUCUUCCAGUAGUUCUGAGCCUUGGCUUUGGACAAAACAAAACUAAAAGUUGGGCAGCUUUCCUCAAUGAAAGAAGUUACUAAUGGUCUUUGCACCAAACCUAGGACUUUAUCAUGAACUCAAAGCUUGGGAAAAAAAAGCAAGAGAAUACUGUAACAAACUUCGUACAGAGUUCGGUCUAUUAAUUGUUUCAUGUUAGAUAUUCUAUGUGUUUACCUCAAUUGAAAAAAAAAAGAAUGUUUUUGCUAGUAUCAGAUCUGCUGUGGAAUUGGUAUUGUAUGUCCAUGAAUUCUUCCUUUCUCAGCACGUGUUCCUCACUAGAAGAAAAUGCUGUUACCUUUAAGCUUUGUCAAAAUUUACAUUAAAAUACUUGUAUGAGGACUGUGACGUUAUGUUUUAAAAAGAAAAAAAAAAGGUGUUAAGUCACAAAAUGCGGUAAUAAAUAUUUCAUUUUUGAUUUUUUGCUAGACUUUCGUGUUUUUAAUCAUGUUUAGCAGAGUCUGAAGUUAUCAUGAGAGAUGUCUCAAACACAUUUCCUAUCAGUAUUGAGAAGAAAGGCUGGAAAAAUCAGAAACAAGCUUGUCAUCGCAUUAAUAGAAUAAUUGAAUGAAAGACCAUCUGAGGUUAUAUAUCUCUGCUGAUUACUGAUAUCAGAUUUUUGCCAGAUUGAACAAAAUUUGAAAUAUUGUCUCACCAGCUUGCAUUUCAGAGAGAUAUGUCUAAUAUUUGUACUACCUGCUGAUAACAUAGAAGCUGAGUUUGAGUUGUGAAGGCGCAGGCAUGAGAUGAUUAAUCCCAUGUGUGUACAUGUAUGUGUGUGUACAUCCAUAACCACAGCAGACCAUAAUUCCAGGUAUUUAGCUCAGAGGCCAAGAAUGGCUUUAUUGCAGGAAUAGGUUUGGAAGUUUUAGGAGGAGAAAAGAGGCUUGGGCUCUAAUGGGAAUUUUUCAUAUGUGAGGACUGUAUAAGCUAGCUUUUGAGAUGGGUUUACUCCUUUUGUUGUCUUCAGCUGUUUUCAGAAAAAAACCCCAAACCAAAGCAACAAAGCAUCGGCUAAUGACAGAAAAUGUUGAUUUGACAUUUUGUAUACAAAUAGUUGGAGUAGAAGCAUGGUUAAAGGUUUGUUUUUUCUUAAGCAAAAGCUUCUGGCAUUUUGAAGGAACUAAAGGAGAGUUUGAACUAGGAAAACAUGAGCAAUGUUAGAAAAAGCAGCCUCUCACCUUCCUCAGUGGCACUGUUAAGUCAGCAAGAGUGGGAUGGGGCCCAAAGAGCAGGGGAAAGCCCUGCCUUUAUUCCUGGGAGGAGGGGAGUGGGAAAGGAUUUGUAAUUAACUUUCUAGGAAACAAAAAUUACCAACUUCAACAUCUGUAAAUUUGUAAACCUUCUCCACCUUCCUUCUCAUCGUUCCAACUGGACAGGGUGUCUUUAAAAACUUUGAGUGACAACUUUUACCCUUGGAAUGUGGAAAGAGGCUCAGCCUCAUAGUUAAUGUUUAAUUUCUGAGCUGAGCAAAUGGACCCACGCUGCUGGUGGCAGAAGGGAGGAUGCCAAUAGAAUGGGUGUGAGGAUUUAUUUAGCAAUCGGGUCCUGCUUUGUGGGCAUCUCUUAUAAGGCUUUCGUAUGAAAUUUAGAUUAUGAUUCCCUGCUCGGCUUUGAUGCUCUCUAUCCUGGUCAAAAUCACAUCAACCCUUCAAUCGCGUAAGAAGAGCACAGCAUGGGUGCCCAUUUCCAAAUUCUCUGAUUUUUGUGGAUGCAGAAUUUAAGAAGGCAAGAUUAUUUGUGUUAGCACCCUAAAGGGGAGGCUUUUAUUUUUAUUUUUUUAAAUCACUACUUUAUUUUCUUGCAGGUCUUUUCUCUAGAAUUUGAGAAGAAAUGUCAGAAAUCACAUUGGUAGAAGGAAAGGGAAGAAUUUAUCCAUAGCAGAUUAUUUGUUGUUAUAAUGAUCUAAAUAUGUGCAUUGCUGUGUUGUCUUUUACUUUCUUUCUUUUUUUCUCACCCUUUUGGGCUGUGCUUUCCAUGAGAUGUCUUGCUGAAAUCCAAGGUACAAUAUCGUGCAGAGAUUUCUCCGUCUGAGAUUUUCUGUUUAGCAUGGAAGGUUCCGAUUUUGGUAUUUUUAAGAACUGCUCAGCUGUCAAAAGCAAACAAAACGGGAAUAAUGUUUUGACAGCGGUAUAGUGUUAAAGAAAAUACUCGAGUCUGAAUAAAAAUUGCUUAUGCUGUGGGAAACGAAGGGUAACAGAAGAAACACCUUUUGUUUACAUACACGCAUGUUUAUAAUCCCAAAUUUCCAUUUCGCCGAGCGGGUCUGGGUUGGGAGUUGUAGUCACCAUAAAUGAGGGAUUUUUCUUCCAGAUUUUGCUGCCUUUAAGGCGAAGAGAGGAGGGGAGCGCACCUCCGGCAGCGCUGCCGCCCGAGCCCUGCCCGUCGCGGCGAGCGGGCACCGCAGGGCCGAAGAGGAGAUGCCGGGGGCAGCCGGGCGCUCCCCACCUUUCAUUCAUAGCCGCAGAGAGAGCGAGGGAGAGAAAAUUGCCCCAGACCAGGCUCGACCGCGUCCCCACGCCGCGCGGAGCGGCAGGAGAGGGUUCCGCUGCGCGGAGGGAUGGCUGCGCCCCACGUCUCCCCUACCACAUCCCUGAGUUCAGCCGAGAGGAAACGGGGCCGGCCUUUUAACUCUCCUGACAGCACUUGGGGAAAAAUCAACCCCGCCGGCGCUGCGCGGGAGCGAGCCAGCUCCGGGCUGGGGAGCCCAGCCGCUGUGGGCUGAGCAGGACCGGAUGGGAUGAGGGGCGGGUGGGGGCAAGGUUUGCAGGCAGAUUUUAAUAUUAAUAGUUUUGGUGGCGAGAAAGAGACAGACAGAAGGGAGGUUGCUCCUCUGGGCAGAGUCUCUGCGACAGUGAUGAUGGAUGACCCCGCACGGCUAAAUAACUCCUCCCCUUCAUCCCCACACGGUGUCAAAGCUACUUUACUUGCAGCUUUAGGAAUAAAAAAAAUUAAACACCUUCA
Long non-coding RNA from Corvus hawaiiensis (hawaiian crow), 3612 nucleotides. RefSeq lists it as uncharacterized. Lineage: Eukaryota; Metazoa; Chordata; Aves; Passeriformes; Corvidae. The transcript is spliced from 2 exons. The record is from RefSeq and is a predicted model, not a curated record.